Long non-coding RNA from Prinia subflava (tawny-flanked prinia), 3197 nucleotides. RefSeq lists it as uncharacterized. Lineage: Eukaryota; Metazoa; Chordata; Aves; Passeriformes; Cisticolidae. The record is from RefSeq and is a predicted model, not a curated record. The transcript is spliced from 3 exons.
UUUAGUAUUCAUUUUCUGUCCUCCUUUUACUGGCUGAUUUCCAGAACAUGGGCCAACAUCUUGGAGCCUAAACACAGACUGCAGAAAGCAAGCCAUGCAACCAUUGCUUGUUUUGGUGCAAAAAUAAUGAAUUUAGUCUGGGGAAAAGAAAAGGGGAGUCUGCUUGUAGCAGCAUCUUACUCUAUCCUGCACAGAAUGAACAAAACAGUCAUUCAUCUUAUUCUAACAUAUAUAAUUUAUAAUAUAUUUAUGCUAUUUUUUUUGCUGACAACUUUAAUAAGUAUUUGCCCUACAGUAUUAGAAAAAAAUACUACAUUUCUGGGCUCAGGUUUAACCCCAUCCUUCCAACUUUGCUGCGGCAACUUUUUUGGGAGAGGGGGACCACUUGGGAUAUUCCCGUCCAUCAUGCUGUUGUUGAUAUCCCUACCUGAUGACAAAGAAACCACCCACCAUCGCAGGCCUCUCUGCAUACAAAAAUUACUGGCCUAUCCAUCAGUCCGGUGGAGAGGGCUGACAAGACAUACUGCACUCAAAUGUAAAACACAUGGCUGCAAAACACUUAGUUUCCUGGCAAUAAUUAAGAAUGCUACUUGGCAGGUUGGCAGCCACAUAAAACAACUGUUAGUCAGCUUUAAAUUUAUUACUUUCCCAGCUUAUUGAAAUGAAACCCAUAUUAUAAACGUAUGUAUGAAACGAGGCCUCAGAUGAUGAAACGACAUGCACAUAAAGUCAAGGCAGAAGUAAAUUGUCUCAGGAGAGCUUUAAAAAGUUGCUGUGUCCUAAAGCAAGCAGAGAAAGGUACACCUUCUGGGGUUAGCCACCUGGAAACUCACCUGACUCUCCCAGCUUACUGCCAUUGAACAGACAAAAUACCAAAAGCUUCAAAAAGCUUGCUAGUUUUUGUGCAAAACAAAAUUUAGAAAAGCUAAUUGCCAUUAAGUUUGCUUUCCCCUUUACAAUUAUCUAGGGAGAGCUGCCUUGUGUGGGAUAUAUGCAUGUAGGCAACCUUAUUACGCCCUUCACAAUUAUCAUAAAUGAAAUAAAGCUGCUGCUGGCCACACUCCUGCUGUCUCUGUGCCAUUUUAUCUGGCUGGUGUGGCAGCCCAGUCCAGCAUUACUGUCCUGGUGAUCCUCAUGAUCAUUACCCCUUCCCUUUGCUGAUCAAUAGGCAUCAGCUCUGACCUCCCACAGCCUGUGUCCUUGUUGGAGGCCCAAACAGCUCAGUCUCAGACCAUCCCACUUCAUGAGCCAAGCUCUCCAUUCCUCAGCUUGCCUUACAAAAAUCUGAUCCAUCUUGUCUUUGUUUUGUGAACUUCUGGGAAUGAACACAGGCUACCAGGGAAGGGGACAGUGGCUUCUCCUACAUCAUUUGUUAGCCCAUGGCUGUCUUGCACCCAAGGGCUGCAUGGCAUUCCCUGACCUCAAACACUGGAGAGGAACCCAUACUACUCUGGGCAGUGGAUUCAACUGGGGCACAACAGUGCUAUACAUUUGUUUCCUGCUGUAAAAGAAAAAAAAAAGGAAUUCACAAUUAUCUAGUGCCUGCUUUUUAGGGUCCUAAAAUGAUUUCAAAAUUUAGUUCCAAAUCCUGUAAACACUUUGCCAUGUGACUGACUUGACUUGCAUGAAGCAACACUUGCUGGCUCUCUUGCAGGUUUCUUGUAAAAAAAAAAAAAAAAAAAAAGCUGUACAUGUGCUAAAGUGUUUGCAGAAUCAACUCCUUGGAGCUAAAUCCUUAUUUUGAAUAGUUCCACUGCUCUUCCUACUGUCACUGGCCUCCUGGGGACAUUCAGGCUUCUUCUGGGGUGCAUGAGCUAUGGGUGUUUGUGCUGCAGUAAGCCAAUGCUGCACUGUUUGCUGCUCUGAGACCUUUCCUCUGCCCUGAUAAGAAGAUCAGAACAAAUCUGCCUGCACCAAGACUGGCUUUCCUGGCACUUCUUUAAGACUUCCAUGACACUGACUCAAUGGCUGAGAAGCUAGGAUGAUGCUGUCUGUCUCUGUGGAAGUAGAUAGAGGCUCUGGAGGACUCAGAAGUGACCCUUUGAAGAACCAGCUUCAGUCUCAAUUGAGUCCCUCUGCUUAAGCAAUUCCCUUAUAUUUUAAUGCCCAAAUACCUGGAGCAACCCCCCUGGUCUAUCAAGAAUGGCUCUCCAAAGCCUCGGUGGAUAUACUGGAAGCUAUGAAGUGCAAUGCAGUUAUUUCAGCUAAACAUUACCGGCCCCUGACCCUGGAACGGGAGAAGUCAAAGUUCUUUUGGAAAUGACACAUUGUGACCUGCAGUCUGCUGUAGCACAUUAAGUCUGAUAAAUGAUCAGAAAUGAUGACUUAAACAAGCAUCUAAGAGAGAGUAUUUUGCCUAAUGUACCCAGCAGUUAACCUUAUGUAGUCACGUUGCAUAGAGGGCUCAUUUGGAAGCCGUGUAGGCUUUGCUGAGAAUAAACAAAGCGUUGCAGUACCAUUAAACGUUUUCUGCGUCUUCCUUCUGUGUUAAUGUGGUUCAGUGCUUCUGUCAUGAAAAUUAACUGAAUGGAGUUUCCCACACUCUUGACCACAAAGAGUGCACUAUGUUGCCUUUACGAGAGACAUUUUGUACUUUCCUGAACACAUGCCUGUUUCAAGAGCAAACCCUGCUUUUCAUACCACUGAAGAGGUCUGCAGCAUAGGAAAGAAGCAAACUCAAAAGCAGAAAAAAAGUGGAAGUGAUGUCAAAACCACUCAACUUUUCCAGGUGGCAAAAAAAAGUUCUAUAUAUACACAAAAAGAAGUAAUUUUCUCACAUCCGCAAAAUGUUCUCCAAGUGAAAUGACAAAUCUAAUCCUCCUGCCUAAUAUGUUCUCAGAUUUUUAAUUUAGGCAUUUUUACUAGAGCCUUAUAGGUACUAGAAUAAUGUGAGUUUUUUCUCUGUACUAAGUUGCUCAACUAUAAUGACUUCAUCAUUUCAUUUAAGCACCUGUUCUGGAAAAUAGGUCCUUAUCCUCCAAACACUCACAUCUAGUAACUAUUCCCAUUUGAACUCUAAAAAUUGUAUCCCAGCUCUUUAGAGUGAUUUAUAGUGUACUAUUAGAAGCAUCUAUAAGCACCUGAAAUGCGUCUGUGGAUGAACAUGAGCAAUAAUUGUAAAUAUAGUUUAUGAGUUAAGCAGUGCGCUGAUUUUGGCGGCCAAUGCUCAGCAAAAUAUUGAGUCUCCCAACUCCUGU